RNAcentral lists this long non-coding RNA (1164 nucleotides) under Anas platyrhynchos platyrhynchos (common mallard). RNAcentral describes it as "lncRNA (ENSAPLG00000031112.1)". The record is from RNAcentral. Lineage: Eukaryota; Metazoa; Chordata; Aves; Anseriformes; Anatidae.
AUGAGGAGGGGGCGAGGAAGACAGGCAGGCCUGUUAUCACAAGGAGAUUGGGGCGAAAACGUGGGGGUAACGCCAGGGGGAGUGCAGGAGGGACGGGUGGUGGGACCCCAGGUGUGCUGCAUCAGCCUGACGGCUGGAGAGGAGGGGUGCUGGCGUGGGGCUGCCCUGAUAAGAGCAGGACGGGGGCAGCUGCAGCUUUUCUUUCAUUCAGAACUGGGCAGCCUCUGGCUCUUUGCUGGGGCUGCAGGGCCAGGUACUCUCCAGUGGGAACUUGGUAGCGAGAGACCUGGAAUGAGAGAUGGCAGGCACGGUGCUGUGCCCCGGGUGGGCCAUCUGAAGAGGAACAGACCGAAACUAACCCCGGGGGAUGAGCCUGCGUGCUUUCUGGGACCUGUACUCGUACCACCAGAGAUGUUUUUUGCCACUUUCCUCUCCUUUUGCAGUAAGAAGCCUCUAAGUGAUGCCCUUGGGGUAUCACAAGUGCUCUCACUUCCCUCUCCAUCCCGCUACACCGGGAGGGAGCUUUUGGCUGCGAGAUGCUGGGGGGCACCGCCGAUGGAUGGGGCUGCGUUGGGGGGACCGGGGCAGCGCUGGGGGACCUCGGGGGGGGGGUCUUUAAGCGGAGGGCGACCGUGCCGGGCCCACCGCGGUGCCCCCCGGCCCCCGGGGCCCUCUCGCCUCAGGCCGGGCCCGCCAGGGGGCGCCGCCGCCUCCCCCCGCCCUUCCCGCUCCCCCUCCCCUGGCAGCCGUCGCCAUGGCGACCGCUGGGUGCGUAGCGGCCCUUACGAAGCUGACGCAGUGGGCGGCCCGGCACGGGCGGGGGCGGCCCCGGCACGGGCGGAGGCGGCGUUGGAGAAUCGGGGGGGGGGGGGGGGGGGCGGGGGCCCCGAGCCGGCGGGGGGGGGGGGGGGCGGGGGGGGGGGGGGGGGGGCCCCGGGGGGGGGGGGGGGGGGGGGGGGGGGGGGGGGGGGGGGGGGGGCCGCGAGGCCCCGGGAUGGAGGCGGCGGCGGCGGCCCCGGGCCUGAGGCGCUGGCGGCGGCGGCGGCGGCAGAGAGGUGAGGGAGGGAGGGAGGGAGGCGGCGCCCCCCGAGGCCUGUGCCGGCGGCCAGGAGGCCCCGCGGCAGGUGCAGCGGGGCUGCUGCGGCCGCAGCCCGGCCCCCGGGU